RNAcentral lists this ribosomal RNA (790 nucleotides) under bacterium IBRC-M C3. Its description in RNAcentral is "bacterial SSU rRNA". It matches the Rfam family "Bacterial small subunit ribosomal RNA", at positions 57 to 831 of the family's 1533-position model. The record is from RNAcentral.
GCAGUCGAGCGGACAGAAGGGAGCUUGCUCCCGGAUGUUAGCGGCGGACGGGUGAGUAACACGUGGGUAACCUGCCUGUAAGACUGGGAUAACUCCGGGAAACCGGAGCUAAUACCGGAUAGUUCCUUGAACCGCAUGGUUCAAGGAUGAAAGACGGUUUCGGCUGUCACUUACAGAUGGACCCGCGGCGCAUUAGCUAGUUGGUGGGGUAAUGGCUCACCAAGGCGACGAUGCGUAGCCGACCUGAGAGGGUGAUCGGCCACACUGGGACUGAGACACGGCCCAGACUCCUACGGGAGGCAGCAGUAGGGAAUCUUCCGCAAUGGACGAAAGUCUGACGGAGCAACGCCGCGUGAGUGAUGAAGGUUUUCGGAUCGUAAAGCUCUGUUGUUAGGGAAGAACAAGUGCGAGAGUAACUGCUCGCACCUUGACGGUACCUAACCAGAAAGCCACGGCUAACUACGUGCCAGCAGCCGCGGUAAUACGUAGGUGGCAAGCGUUGUCCGGAAUUAUUGGGCGUAAAGGGCUCGCAGGCGGUUUCUUAAGUCUGAUGUGAAAGCCCCCGGCUCAACCGGGGAGGGUCAUUGGAAACUGGGAAACUUGAGUGCAGAAGAGGAGAGUGGAAUUCCACGUGUAGCGGUGAAAUGCGUAGAGAUGUGGAGGAACACCAGUGGCGAAGGCGACUCUCUGGUCUGUAACUGACGCUGAGGAGCGAAAGCGUGGGGAGCGAACAGGAUUAGAUACCCUGGUAGUCCACGCCGUAAACGAUGAGUGCUAAGUGUUAGGGAUC